Molecule: ribosomal RNA, 722 nt
Filed under: uncultured Fusobacterium sp.
Lineage: Bacteria; Fusobacteriati; Fusobacteriota; Fusobacteriia; Fusobacteriales; Fusobacteriaceae
Description: bacterial SSU rRNA
Rfam family: Bacterial small subunit ribosomal RNA
Source: RNAcentral
GAUGAACGCUGACAGAAUGCUUAACACAUGCAAGUCAACUUGAACUUCGGUUUGGGUGGCGGACGGGUGAGUAACGCGUAAAGAACUUGCCUCACAGAUAGGGACAACAUUUGGAAACGAAUGCUAAUACCUGAUAUUAUGAUUUUAGGGCAUCCUAGGAUUAUGAAAGCUAUAUGCACUGUGAGAGAGCUUUGCGUCCCAUUAGCUAGUUGGAGAGGUAACGGCUCACCAAGGCGAUGAUGGGUAGCCGGCCUGAGAGGGUGAUCGGCCACAAGGGGACUGAGACACGGCCCUUACUCCUACGGGAGGCAGCAGUGGGGAAUAUUGGACAAUGGACCAAGAGUCUGAUCCAGCAAUUCUGUGUGCACGAUGAAGUUUUUCGGAAUGUAAAGUGCUUUCAGUUGGGAAGAAAAAAAUGACGGUACCAACAGAAGAAGUGACGGCUAAAUACGUGCCAGCAGCCGCGGUAAUACGUAUGUCACAAGCGUUAUCCGGAUUUAUUGGGCGUAAAGCGCGUCUAGGUGGUUAUGUAAGUCUGAUGUGAAAAUGCAGGGCUCAACUCUGUAUUGCGUUGGAAACUGUGUAACUAAAGUACUGGAGAGGUAAGCGGAACUACAAGUGUAGAGGUGAAAUUCGUAGAUAUUUGUAGGAAUGCCGAUGGGGAAGCCAGCUUACUGGACAGAUACUGACGCUGAAGCGCGAAAGCGUGGGUAGCAAACAGG